UACAGAGGGUGCGAGCGUUAAUCGGAAUUACUGGGCGUAAAGGGUGCGUAGGUGGUCACUUAAGUUAGAUGUGAAAUCCCCGGGCUUAACCUGGGAAUGGCAUUUAAGACUGAGUGGCUAGAGUUUGGUAGAGGGAAGUGGAAUUUCCGGUGUAGCGGUGAAAUGCGUAGAUAUCGGAAGGAACACCAGUGGCGAAGGCGACUUCCUGGACCAUCACUGACACUGAGGCACGAAAGCGUGGGGAGCGAACAGG
Molecule: ribosomal RNA, 253 nt
Filed under: uncultured bacterium
Lineage: Bacteria
Description: partial 16S ribosomal RNA
Rfam family: Bacterial small subunit ribosomal RNA
Source: RNAcentral